Molecule: ribosomal RNA, 253 nt
Filed under: uncultured bacterium
Lineage: Bacteria
Description: partial 16S ribosomal RNA
Rfam family: Bacterial small subunit ribosomal RNA
Source: RNAcentral
GACGAAGGACCCGAGCGUUAUCCGGAUUCAUUGGGUUUAAAGGGUGCGUAGGUGGAUUGGUAAGUCAGUGGUGAAAGCCCCAGGCUCAACUUGGGAACUGCCAUUGAUACUGCUGAUCUUGAGUGCAUAUGAUGUGGGCGGAAUAUGACAUGUAGUGGUGAAAUACUUAGAUAUGUCAUAGAACACCGAUUGCGAAGGCAGCUCACAAAACUGCAACUGACACUGAGGCACGAAAGCGUGGGGAUCAAACAGG